This 564-nucleotide ribosomal RNA is filed under the name Streptomyces blastmyceticus. RNAcentral's name for it is "bacterial SSU rRNA". It matches the Rfam family "Bacterial small subunit ribosomal RNA", at positions 93 to 671 of the family's 1533-position model. The record is from RNAcentral. Lineage: Bacteria; Bacillati; Actinomycetota; Actinomycetes; Kitasatosporales; Streptomycetaceae.
UAGUGGCGAACGGGUGAGUAACACGUGGGCAAUCUGCCCUGCACUCUGGGACAAGCCCUGGAAACGGGGUCUAAUACCGGAUAAUACCUGCCGAGGCAUCUCGGUGGGUUGAAAGCUCCGGCGGUGCAGGAUGAGCCCGCGGCCUAUCAGCUUGUUGGUGGGGUGAUGGCCUACCAAGGCGACGACGGGUAGCCGGCCUGAGAGGGCGACCGGCCACACUGGGACUGAGACACGGCCCAGACUCCUACGGGAGGCAGCAGUGGGGAAUAUUGCACAAUGGGCGAAAGCCUGAUGCAGCGACGCCGCGUGAGGGAUGACGGCCUUCGGGUUGUAAACCUCUUUCAGCAGGGAAGAAGCGAAAGUGACGGUACCUGCAGAAGAAGCGCCGGCUAACUACGUGCCAGCAGCCGCGGUAAUACGUAGGGCGCAAGCGUUGUCCGGAAUUAUUGGGCGUAAAGAGCUCGUAGGCGGCUUGUUGCGUCGGAUGUGAAAGCCCGGGGCUUAACCCCGGGUCUGCAUUCGAUACGGGCAGGCUAGAGUUCGGUAGGGGAGAUCGGAAUUCCU